This 107-nucleotide small nucleolar RNA is filed under the name Gossypium hirsutum (cotton). Its description in RNAcentral is "Plant small nucleolar RNA R71". It matches the Rfam family "Plant small nucleolar RNA R71". From Rfam's summary of the family: R71 is a member of the C/D box family of snoRNAs containing the C (UGAUGA) and D (CUGA) box motifs. The record is from Rfam by way of RNAcentral. Lineage: Eukaryota; Viridiplantae; Streptophyta; Magnoliopsida; Malvales; Malvaceae.
AACCCAUGAUGAGGGCACGUUCUCAAUAGAUCCUUGUAUCUCUCCCAAGCAUCAUAGACUGUUUCUAGAUCCAUCUACACAAAAGAAGAGAUAUCAUUCCUCAACUU